AUUGAACGCUGGCGGCAGGCUUAACACAUGCAAGUCGAGCGGGGGAAGGUAGCUUGCUACCGGACCUAGCGGCGGACGGGUGAGUAAUGCUUAGGAAUCUGCCUAUUAGUGGGGGACAACAUCUCGAAAGGGAUGCUAAUACCGCAUACGUCCUACGGGAGAAAGCAGGGGAUCUUCGGACCUUGCGCUAAUAGAUGAGCCUAAGUCGGAUUAGCUAGUUGGUGGGGUAAAGGCCUACCAAGGCGACGAUCUGUAGCGGGUCUGAGAGGAUGAUCCGCCACACUGGGACUGAGACACGGCCCAGACUCCGACGGGAGGGAGCAGUGGGGAAUAUUGGACAAUGGGGGGAACCCUGAUCCAGCCAUGCCGCGUGUGUGAAGAAGGCCUUAUGGUUGUAAAGCACUUUAAGCGAGGAGGAGGCUACUUUAGUUAAUACCUAGAGAUAGUGGACGUUACUCGCAGAAUAAGCACCGGCUAACUCUGUGCCAGCCGCCGCAGUAA
This 501-nucleotide ribosomal RNA is filed under the name uncultured bacterium. RNAcentral's name for it is "partial 16S ribosomal RNA". It matches the Rfam family "Bacterial small subunit ribosomal RNA", at positions 30 to 523 of the family's 1533-position model. The record is from RNAcentral.